GUGGAUUUUUUGUUUCUUUACUGGCUUCAUAUAAUUCUGAAAACAAAAGUUUUCUUGAAGCCUCUUGCUCAUAUCUCUCAUCAAAGGGUGCUAUUCUAUAAUGUUUCUUUAGCAGAUCCCCCGCUAAUCCGAGCGAGCUUUCAAAUAUUAACAAUUGAGGGAUUUCAACUUUUUGUGGUGGCGUGA
Molecule: ribosomal RNA, 186 nt
Filed under: Triticum aestivum (bread wheat)
Lineage: Eukaryota; Viridiplantae; Streptophyta; Magnoliopsida; Poales; Poaceae
Description: partial small subunit ribosomal RNA
Source: RNAcentral